GUUAAGCGACUAAGCGUACACGGUGGAUGCCCUGGCAGUCAGAGGCGAUGAAGGACGUGCUAAUCUGCGAUAAGCGUCGGUGAGGUGAUAUGAACCGUUAUAACCGGCGAUUUCCGAAUGGGGAAACCCAGUGUGUUUCGACACACUAUCAUUAACUGAAUCCAUAGGUUAAUGAGGCGAACCGGGGGAACUGAAACAUCUAAGUACCCCGAGGAAAAGAAAUCAACCGAGAUUCCCCCAGUAGCGGCGAGCGAACGGGGAGGAGCCCAGAGCCUGAAUCAGUGUGUGUGUUAGUGGAAGCGUCUGGAAAGGCGCGCGAUACAGGGUGACAGCCCCGUACACAAAAAUGCACAUGCUGUGAGCUCGAUGAGUAGGGCGGGACACGUGGUAUCCUGUCUGAAUAUGGGGGGACCAUCCUCCAAGGCUAAAUACUCCUGACUGACCGAUAGUGAACCAGUACCGUGAGGGAAAGGCGAAAAGAACCCCGGCGAGGGGAGUGAAAAAGAACCUGAAACCGUGUACGUACAAGCAGUGGGAGCCUCUUAAUGGGGUGACUGCGUACCUUUUGUAUAAUGGGUCAGCGACUUAUAUUCUGUAGCAAGGUUAACCGAAUAGGGGAGCCGAAGGGAAACCGAGUCUUAACUGGGCGCUAAGUUGCAGGGUAUAGACCCGAAACCCGGUGAUCUAGCCAUGGGCAGGUUGAAGGUUGGGUAACACUAACUGGAGGACCGAACCGACUAAUGUUGAAAAAUUAGCGGAUGACUUGUGGCUGGGGGUGAAAGGCCAAUCAAACCGGGAGAUAGCUGGUUCUCCCCGAAAGCUAUUUAGGUAGCGCCUCGUGAAUUCAUCUCCGGGGGUAGAGCACUGUUUCGGCAAGGGGGUCAUCCCGACUUACCAACCCGAUGCAAACUGCGAAUACCGGAGAAUGUUAUCACGGGAGACACACGGCGGGUGCUAACGUCCGUCGUGAAGAGGGAAACAACCCAGACCGCCAGCUAAGGUCCCAAAGUCAUGGUUAAGUGGGAAACGAUGUGGGAAGGCCCAGACAGCCAGGAUGUUGGCUUAGAAGCAGCCAUCAUUUAAAGAAAGCGUAAUAGCUCACUGGUCGAGUCGGCCUGCGCGGAAGAUGUAACGGGGCUAAACCAUGCACCGAAGCUGCGGCAGCGACACUAUGUGUUGUUGGGUAGGGGAGCGUUCUGUAAGCCUGUGAAGGUGGCCUGUGAGGGUUGCUGGAGGUAUCAGAAGUGCGAAUGCUGACAUAAGUAACGAUAAAGCGGGUGAAAAGCCCGCUCGCCGGAAGACCAAGGGUUCCUGUCCAACGUUAAUCGGGGCAGGGUGAGUCGACCCCUAAGGCGAGGCCGAAAGGCGUAGUCGAUGGGAAACAGGUUAAUAUUCCUGUACUUGGUGUUACUGCGAAGGGGGGACGGAGAAGGCUAUGUUGGCCGGGCGACGGUUGUCCCGGUUUAAGCGUGUAGGCUGGUUUUCCAGGCAAAUCCGGAAAACCAAGGCUGAGGCGUGAUGACGAGGCACUACGGUGCUGAAGCGACAAAUGCCCUGCUUCCAGGAAAAGCCUCUAAGCAUCAGGUAACAUCAAAUCGUACCCCAAACCGACACAGGUGGUCAGGUAGAGAAUACCAAGGCGCUUGAGAGAACUCGGGUGAAGGAACUAGGCAAAAUGGUGCCGUAACUUCGGGAGAAGGCACGCUGAUAUGUAGGUGAAGCGACUUGCUCGUGGAGCUGAAAUCAGUCGAAGAUACCAGCUGGCUGCAACUGUUUAUUAAAAACACAGCACUGUGCAAACACGAAAGUGGACGUAUACGGUGUGACGCCUGCCCGGUGCCGGAAGGUUAAUUGAUGGGGUUAGCGGUAACGCGAAGCUCUUGAUCGAAGCCCCGGUAAACGGCGGCCGUAACUAUAACGGUCCUAAGGUAGCGAAAUUCCUUGUCGGGUAAGUUCCGACCUGCACGAAUGGCGUAAUGAUGGCCAGGCUGUCUCCACCCGAGACUCAGUGAAAUUGAACUCGCUGUGAAGAUGCAGUGUACCCGCGGCAAGACGGAAAGACCCCGUGAACCUUUACUAUAGCUUGACACUGAACAUUGAGCCUUGAUGUGUAGGAUAGGUGGGAGGCUUUGAAGUGUGGACGCCAGUCUGCAUGGAGCCGACCUUGAAAUACCACCCUUUAAUGUUUGAUGUUCUAACGUUGGCCCGUAAUCCGGGUUGCGGACAGUGUCUGGUGGGUAGUUUGACUGGGGCGGUCUCCUCCUAAAGAGUAACGGAGGAGCACGAAGGUUGGCUAAUCCUGGUCGGACAUCAGGAGGUUAGUGCAAUGGCAUAAGCCAGCUUGACUGCGAGCGUGACGGCGCGAGCAGGUGCGAAAGCAGGUCAUAGUGAUCCGGUGGUUCUGAAUGGAAGGGCCAUCGCUCAACGGAUAAAAGGUACUCCGGGGAUAACAGGCUGAUACCGCCCAAGAGUUCAUAUCGACGGCGGUGUUUGGCACCUCGAUGUCGGCUCAUCACAUCCUGGGGCUGAAGUAGGUCCCAAGGGUAUGGCUGUUCGCCAUUUAAAGUGGUACGCGAGCUGGGUUUAGAACGUCGUGAGACAGUUCGGUCCCUAUCUGCCGUGGGCGCUGGAGAACUGAGGGGGGCUGCUCCUAGUACGAGAGGACCGGAGUGGACGCAUCACUGGUGUUCGGGUUGUCAUGCCAAUGGCACUGCCCGGUAGCUAAAUGCGGAAGAGAUAAGUGCUGAAAGCAUCUAAGCACGAAACUUGC
RNAcentral lists this ribosomal RNA (2770 nucleotides) under Escherichia coli. Its description in RNAcentral is "partial 23S ribosomal RNA". It matches the Rfam family "Bacterial large subunit ribosomal RNA". The record is from RNAcentral. Lineage: Bacteria; Pseudomonadati; Pseudomonadota; Gammaproteobacteria; Enterobacterales; Enterobacteriaceae.